RNAcentral lists this ribosomal RNA (492 nucleotides) under uncultured bacterium. Its description in RNAcentral is "partial 16S ribosomal RNA". It matches the Rfam family "Bacterial small subunit ribosomal RNA", at positions 29 to 507 of the family's 1533-position model. The record is from RNAcentral.
AGUGAACGCUGGCGGUAGGCCUAACACAUGCAAGUCGAACGGCAGCACAGUAAGAGCUUGCUCUUACGGGUGGCGAGUGGCGGACGGGUGAGGAAUACAUCGGAAUCUACUCUUUCGUGGGGGAUAACGUAGGGAAACUUACGCUAAUACCGCAUACGACCUACGGGUGAAAGCAGGGGAUCUUCGGACCUUGCGCGAUUGAAUGAGCCGAUGUCGGAUUAGCUAGUUGGCGGGGUAAGGGCCCACCAAGGCGACGAUCCGUAGCUGGUCUGAGAGGAUGAUCAGCCACACUGGAACUGAGACACGGUCCAGAGUCCUACGGGAGGCAGCAGUGGGGAAUAUUGGACAAUGGGCGCAAGCCUGAUCCAGCCAUACCGCGUGGGUGAAGAAGGCCUUCGGGUUGUAAAGCCCUUUUGUUGGGAAAGAAAAGCAGCAGGUUAAUACCCCGCUGUUCUGACGGUACCCAAAGAAUAAGCACCGGCUAACUUCGUG